AUGUACAAAAUCCCAACCUUUCAGCAGAAACGGAACUGGCAAAAACUUUGGUCAGCUAGGUCGCUGCUGAUACAAGUUCUCACCGGAGUAGGGGUCGCCGGAGCGCGAGAGCGGCCGCGGGGGUGGAGGAGAGGGGCGUCGCGGCGGCCGGGGUGGAGGAGGGGCGGUGGUGGAGGAGAGGGCGCGGGGGCGGCCGGGGUGGAGGAGGCGGUGCCGGAGUGGCGGGGCAGCCGCGAUCAUCCCUCCCUUGUGCCACCGCCACCUCCCCCAGCCCCAACCCAGCGACCCGGCCCCGACCUCAGCAACCACCGCCCUCCUCUGGCUCGCGCCGCAUUACCAUCCGUCUAUGCAAAUCUACACAAGAAAGGCAUAAACCUUAUGUAUCUUUGCAAGCAUUUACAUAUUGGCAAGGCCGAUGGUGAGAAGUGUAAGUACCUGAGUGAUGCUGUUUCGUGGAAUAUGCCCAGCCACGUGGAAGCAACAACUCUAUUUCAAGGCUGUGUCGUGCAGGUUCUGAUCAUGCAACUGGCUUACCAGUACACCGCCAAGGGGGCAUGCCUUGCCCUGGUAGCAAGGAGGGAGUGGAGCCUGUGGCAGGUCGCCGACCGCGCCUUCGAGCUCGGCGCGCAGGACGUGAUCAUUCUCCCCGGGGACAUCGCAGACCCCGACGACUACAACAGAUUUGUUCAGGCCACAAUCGACCAGUACAGCCAAUGUAAGUCAGCCCCUCUCCGUUACAACUAA
Molecule: ribosomal RNA, 744 nt
Filed under: Triticum aestivum (bread wheat)
Lineage: Eukaryota; Viridiplantae; Streptophyta; Magnoliopsida; Poales; Poaceae
Description: partial small subunit ribosomal RNA
Source: RNAcentral